This 17627-nucleotide long non-coding RNA is filed under the name Medicago truncatula (barrel medic). RNAcentral describes it as "long non-coding RNA (MTRU_LNC006149)". The record is from RNAcentral. Lineage: Eukaryota; Viridiplantae; Streptophyta; Magnoliopsida; Fabales; Fabaceae.
UCCUUAUGCUUUAUACUCAUGCUCCUGAUACAAAAACAUAAAAACUGCAACACUAUCCGGGCACACCAUCAGAGCACAACUAUCCUAUCCCAACACAAAAUGAAACCAGUUUUAUUAACACCAAGGUUGAAUGAGAAGUAGGAUGUAUGACCAGCUUUAUUCCAAGUCUGAACGGAAGUAAUAAACCUAAAUGACAGAUUACAUCAAAGCAGUCACAAUUUCUACAACUAUCACGGUCAGAAUACAUCAAAAACCUGAAUGUAAGGAAUCAGAGUAAGGCUGAACUUCUUAGAUAUAAACAAGAGGAAGAUCGAUAGAACCAGAAUAUGUUUAAAAAAGAUCACACUUCUCCUGCGACACGGAAGAAUAAACAACAAAUAAAGAUAUAUAUAUGUUGAUAAAAGAAAUUUUUAAAAUGAAAAGAAUUAAAUAGUUAUCACCAAAUCAAAAUGCUAGGUUCCAUGCCACGAAGCAGGUUAUUAGUGUGACAAACCAUGCUGCAGGAAAACAUGUUCAAAAUUCAAUUCGUAUGUCUUGCAAUUGAAGCCCAGAAAUUAAAAUAAUAAACAAUGGCUCAAUGAAGAAAUUUGAUUUUUAUCUAUCGGGGCUGUUGUUCUUUUCCGGUGUAUGAAACGUUCUAGAUAAUGAAGAUUUCACAGACUGCAAAAGAUGGAUAAAUGCAUCACCAGGUUAUCAAAUGAAGAAUAAUAUCCCAAACAAGUUUUGAUAACCAAUCCGUAAAAGAAGAGUCAAAAUAAGUGUUAAAAUUCAUGAUAUCUACAAUCUGAGUGGAACAUGUUAAGAAGAGUCUCUAAUGCUCACGUUGCGAGCAGCAGAACCCUUAACAUCAAACCCUGAAAUCAAGCAAUCACAGAAGCAAACAAUACGGCCGACAAGUUAAAAAAUCAAGUAACAAAAGAAAGCAUGAACAAAAUAAACAAACAAACUUCAUAAUCAAGAAAUCAAAAGCAUAUCCUCUCAUGUAAUAAUUUAACAAUUCAAGAAACAUUUGUUCUUAGAAUCAACCAGAUUGAAAAAAAAGGAUUUACUUAUCACCAAAUCAAAACUUGAGGCUCUAUGCUGUGAAGGAUAUUAUUAUUUUGACAAACCACGCUGCAGUCUAAACCAACAAAAAUCAUGAAACCGAAAGAAUCAAUCAAAAAUGAAUAAGAAUGCAAAACAUGAAAGACCAAACAAGAGGAAGAUCCAUAUAACCAGAAGAAAUCGUAUGUUACGAAAUUACUUUUCCUACAAGACCAAAGAGGGUAAAAACAGGUCAAGAAAUACAUGAUCUCAGAGACGAUAAAGAAUUUUUAAAAAUGAAAAGAAUUUAAUACAGAUCACCAAAUCAAAACGCUAGGCUCCAUGCAUCAAGCAGGUAAUAGUUUAACAAACCACGCAGCAAGAAAACAUGUUGAAAAUUCAAUUUGCAUGCCUUGCAGUAAAAACCCAGAAAUUAAAGUAAUAAAGAACGAAUCACUGAAUAAAUUGAUUUAUCUAUCUGGAGCCAAAUGUAUGCUGAUUAAAUAAUGAAGUUCAUGAUUCAAUUUUUAUUUAUAGCAUUAAAAGAACAAACACCAAGAUUAACUUCACAAACAUGAACCCGGAAAUGAAAAAGAAUACAAAAUUAUUGGAAGAAAGAUAGAGCAAGAAGAAAGCGUAUUUAUUUCUCCUGAAAAACCAAAGAGGUCACCGAAUCAAAAAAAUAUUAACUGAUUUAAUAGUAUACAUUAAAAAUAAUGAAGAAAUUUAGAAAAGAAAAAUGAUUUAACAGACAUCACCAAAUCAAAUCCACGCUUAGUUUGACCAAACACGCUGCAGAAUAAUUAAGGACAUGAUUAAGGACAUGUUUAAAAUUCAAUUUUUUACACCGCACAUUACAUGUUGAUUAUUAUCUCUAUUGUUCGUGCUCAAUAGAAGUGAUCUUACUGAAGUUCUCAAGAGUAAUUUCCAAUAAAGAAAGUUUAUACUCUAGUUAACACUGGCAGGUCAAACAACCAAAAUAUAACUUUCAAAAUACAUUAAGCAUUCCUAAGCUAGAAGCAGGCCUGCUUUGUGGACUAAUGAGAAACAAUAAACUCCGCACAUUUGGUAUAUUCCACUAUUGUGCUUGUUCUUGAUAGAAAGAAUGCAGGACACGCAUAAAUAGUAAGAAAUAACUGGUUUUGUCCAAAAUAGGACGCUCUAUCAUGUUAUUCACACAAGCUUUUCACAAUCCACGUAUAUUUGCAAUGAACGAGAUAAAAUUACAAAGAACCAAUCCAAGUAGAAUUCACCUUGAAGCCCGGUGCCCUCAGAAAUAUCCACUUAGAGAACCGAUUUAUUCUUAUGAACACCCAAGCUCCCCAAAUAAAGACCACACAAGCUGUCCAAAACAGAUUACAGAUACAGGUAGGUCAAACCAUAAGAGAAUAACUACUCCACUGACAAAGAUACAAAUUUGGGACAGAAGAUUCUUAUUCUUAUAUAAUAACUAGAAAAGAUGGGAGACUACCAGAGUACAACACCAAAACAAGUCAUAUACUCUAGAAUCUUGUAUGCUUCAGUAUUCAUGCUCCUCAUGCAAAAACACAUAUAUCCAGCACUAGCAUGAGACAUAUCAAAGGAAAAAUAUCCCCUAAUGUCGUAACAUAACAGAUAUGUAAAAAAUCAUUAACCUUCAGUUUCCACAGGUCACAGCACACCAUAUAUUCAUAGUCGGUCUCCCCUGUAACACCCAUAGAUAUCAAAAGAAUUGAAAAAAGAUGUAAUUGAAAAGAAAAAUAGAUUCACAAUCCAAUCUUCAUGUCUUAAAAACAAAGCAAUAAUCUUAAAAAGUAAAGAACGACUCAUUGGAGUGAUCUGAUAUAUCUGGACUCUCCAAACAUUGUAGAUAUUCAAACUUUAGCCCUCUGCAAAACAGAGGUGUAUAUCUUGAUUAUCCAAGAAAGAGAUGGACAGUAUCAUAAAUAUUGCCAAAGCUCUCAUAAUAUCUAGAUUCAUAAUUCUAGACAUUGCCACAUCACAAGGACACCUAUACAUGAACAAGUACAUUCAAGGCAAGAAAAUGACCGGUGAAAUCCAAGGGUCUGCAGCUUUAACAUCACAGUACAUCAUCUCCCCUGUAACACAAGCCAAGAAAAUUUCACAACAAAAAACCCCAGUUACAAACACAUGGAGUUGGGUAGGAAUGAGAGAAAACUACAUCCACAAAAGACAAGGAAACGUUAAGAAAUCACUGUCAAAGUAGAGAUAACGAAAUGAAAGCUUAACAACGGCAGAUUCUGGUGAUCCAUUAAGCUCUCCCCCCUAAAAACCAAGUCCUUGUAUAUAACCAAUUGCAGAAUCUGUGAGGCAUAACCAUUUUGGAGAGAAGAUUCUUAGCCUUAUGUAUAUAUACCACAAACCGCAGGAAAAUAGAAAACGAAUUAUAGUAGAGGAAAAGACAAAUCAACAAUUAAAGUAUUGAAGUGCCAAACCAGUCCAGAAUGCUUAUAUGCUUCAUACUCUCAUGAGACAGAACCACAAAAACUCAGACACUUGCAAGAAACCAUCAGAGGACCCGAUAUCCCAAAUCCCAAUAUAAAACAGACUGUGGUUAUUUUAAGAUACAUUACGCUCCAGAAAACAGGUUUUAAUACACAAUCCCACCAGGAAUGAAACUCAAUUGGCAACAUCCAAAACAGAAAAUUCAUAUCAGAACUCCAGUCAUCUUUCCAAGUUCCGCAAAACAUUACUAUUUCCUAUUACUCAUAUAGCAAUACCAUAAAUGCAAAACAACAUCGGUCUACCAAGAAUAAUGUUAGUUGUAACAGAGGAAUUCAAGAACAAUUAAUCAAUUGUAACUGCAAAAGUUAAGAUACCGAAUAAUUAAUCACAAAGAAUAAGAAUACAACACAUGAGGAUCAAACAAGAGAAUGUCACAGAUUAUUGCUCCUGCAACACCAAAAAGUAACGAAUGAAGAAAUAUUCAUACUCUCAGCAACACCAAAAAGUAACCAAUCAAGAAAUAUUCAUACUCUUAGCAGUGAAAGAAAUAUUGUAAACAAAGAAUUAUGAUAGAUAUCACCAUAUAAAAACGCUAUGAUGCGAAGAAAGUUAUUAGAUUUGACAGACCGUGCUGCAGAAAAACAUGUUCAAAAUUCAAUUUGUUAAAAGCCCAUAAAUCAAGUUAAUAAAUGACUCAUUGAAGAAACAUCAUCUAUCUAUCGGAUGUUGUUCCUCGUUCUUGUCCAUUGAAUCAAGUGUUCUAGAUAUCUAGAGUUCCGAGUUCCCUGCUUGCAGUACAACGGAUUAAAGGUCUUCAAUUAUCAAAUGAAGUUAUUUUGAAAAAUAACACAAAGAUUGAAUAAAUGAAAUUUCUAGAGAUCACCAGAAAAAUACUAAAGGCUCCAUACUCUGAAGUAGGUUAUUAUUUAAACAAACCAGGCUGCUGAAAAAGCAUGUUCGCAGUUCAAUUAUUUUGACAAACCAUGCUGCAGAAAAGCAUUUUCAAAAUCAAUUUGUAUGUCUUGUAAUCAAAGUCAGAUUUUAAACAAAAUUAACAAAAUCAAUAAAGAUUUAAACAAAAAGGAUUUACUACCUUUGAUAUUUAUGAAGUAAGGAGAAAAAUUUGAGGUUCUAUGCUAUGAAGGAGGUUAAUAUUUUGACAAAACCAAGCUGAAAAAGAAAGUCAUUGAUUCAAUUUUGCUGUCUUGCAUUAAAAUUAAUAAAUAAUCACCAAAAUCAAAACCUCACAAAGAAGCGUGUUUUCAUAGAUAUUUCUCCUGAAACACCAAAGAGACCAAAUCAAAAAAUAUCAACUGAUUCAAUGUAAUACAUAAAUAACAAUGAAGAAAUUUUGAAAACAAAUAAUUUAACAGACAUCACCAAAUCAAAUCCAUGCUUUAGUUUGCAAACCACCCACCACGCUGCAGAAUAAUUAAGAUGUUCAAUAUUCAAUUGUAUGUUUUCCAAUCAAAUUAAAAUAAUUAAGAACCACUAUUAAUUAAAGAAAUUUAAUUUAUCUAGCUGGGGCCUUUCUUGUGCCUUGUAUCAAGAUGUUUCACUGCAAAACUGAUAAACGAUCUCUCGAUUAUCAAAUGAAGAAUUAAUUAUAUAUGAAUUUUAAGAAAUUUUUAUGUAAAAGAAUAAGGGCUCGUGUAAGUAGGAAACAGAAAAUAUCUAUUCUAGUUCUAUCAUCAGCUAUGGGUUCGAAUUUAAGCGAAAUUCUUGAGAACGUUUGCUACCCCGAAAUUUUUAUAUCUUUCCUCAAUGAAAAGGAGGAAAAAAAAAUAGGGUCAAAAGAAAAUGCCAUUUUGGAGUUUUAUCGACAAUUUGCUUGUGUAGGCGGAGAUCCCAUAUUUCCGGAAUCUUUAUGUACGGAAUUACAAAAAAAAAAAUUUCAACAAAGAUGUGAAUUGGGAGGGAUUGGUUUGCAACAAAAGGGACAGAAUUUUCUCAAUUCACAUCGAUUGGGUGUAUUGUGUCGAUUCUUUUGAGUAAUAUAUCUAGAAAUACCCCUAGAUAUGUGAUUGUGUGAAAUUCUGUUGAAAGUAUAUCUUAACAAUCACUGAAUUUAAGCAAUAACAGAUCAAAGAAUCAAGAAACUAGAACACCAAAUCAAGAAAUCAUAAUUGCAUUCUUUAAAUCGACAUAGAAAAAAAAGAUUUACUAGAUAUCACCAAAUCAAAUCUAGAAGCUCCAUGCUAUGAAUAACGUUAUACUCUGACAAACCACGCUGCAGAAAAACAUGUUCAUGAAUAAGAUAUAUUCAUACUCGAGUAGUUAAAGAAAUAUUGAAAACAAAAAGAUUAUGAUAGAUAUCACCAAAUAAAUAUGCCAUGCUCUGCUGUGAAGGAAGUUAACAGUUUGACAGACAGUGCUGCAAAAAAACAUGUUCAAAUUCAAUUCCCGGAGCGAUAAGAACGAAAGGGUUGUGUGGCCACAGCUACAACACUCUUGAUACGAAAGAAACCAUCAUAAAUUAAAUUGAUAAAGGACUCGUUCAAGAAAAAUCAUUUAUCUAUCAAGAGCCGUUCCCCGUUACAUUACGUCUCCUAGAUUUCAAGACUUGAUCUUCGAUUAUCAAAGUAAGAGUUAUAUCGAAAAAUAAUACUCGUUAACUAAUCGUAAAAGAAGAGUCAAGAAAAGUAUGAGAGAGUGUGAAAUAUAUGCUCUCGGGCAUUGAACGGACGAAUUUACUAGAUAGAGAUCACCAGAAAAUUCUCAAGCUUCCAUACUCAGGAGGUUAUUACUUAGACAAACCAAGCUGCAGAAAAAGCAAGUUCACAGUUCAAUUCUUCUCAUAAUCUAAAACUUGAAAUUGAAAACAAUAAAGAAUGAAUCAUUGAAGAAAUUCGAUUCAUCUAUUUGAAGCAAUUCUCCGUUCAUAUCCGUUGUGUCAAGAAUCACAAAAUGUUCACAGUUUUUCGGAAUUCCGCCACCUGCUGCAAAUUAAACAUAUAUCUCCGUUAUCUACUUAUGAAGAACUAGAACCAAUAGUUCGAAAAUAAACAUAAUUUUUGAAAAAAACGAUCCAUAAAAGAAGAGUAGAGAGAACUGUGAAAUUCUUGAUAUCUAUAUUCCAAAAAAGCAUAUCAAAACACCAAUCAAUAAAGAUCUCAUUGAUAGAAGAAGAUCAAAGACCCAAGCGAAAAGAUAAACUGCAGACUCCUUAUGCUUUAUACUCAUGUUCCUGAUACAAAAACAUAAAAACUGCAACACUAUCCGAGCACACCAUCAGAGCACAACUAUCCCAUCCCAACACAAAAUGAAACCAGUUUUAUUAAUACCAAGGUUGAAUGAAAAGUAGGAUGUAUGACCAGUUUUAUUAAUACCAAGGUUGAAUGAAAAGUAGGAUGUAUGACCAUCAAAGCAGUCACAAUUUCUCCAGAAUUGUGUAAACUAUCACGGUCAGAAUACAUCAAAAACCUGAAUGUAAGGAAUCAGAGUAUGAUGGUGUAAGAAAACCUAAGGCUGAACUUCUCAGAUAUAAACAAGAGGAAGAUCAAUAGAACCAGAAUAUGUUUAAAAAAGAUCACUUCUCCUGCAACACGGAAGAAUAAACAACAAAUAAAGAAAUAUAUAUGUCGAUAAAACAAAUUUUUAAAAUGAAAAGAAUUAAAUAGUUAUCACCAUAUCAAAAUGCUAGGUUCCAUGCCAUGAAGCAGAUUAUUAGUGUGACAAACCAUGCUGCAGGAAAACAUGUUCAAAAUUCAUUUCGUAUGUCAUGCAAUUGAAGCCCAGAAAUUAAAAUAAUAAAGAAUGGCUCAAUGAAGAAAUUUGAUUUUUAUCUGCUGUUGUUCUUUUCCGGUGUAUGAAACGUUCUAGAUAAUGAAGAUUUCACAGACUGCAAGAUGGAUAAAUGCAUCGCCAGGUUAUCAAAUGAAGAAUUAUAUCCCAAACAAGUUUUGAUAACCAAUCCAUAAAAGAAGAGACAAGAUAAGUGUUAAAAUUCAUGAUAUCUACAAUCUGAGGGGAACAUAUUAAUAAGCAAACAAUAUGGCCAACUAGUUAAAAAAUCAAGUAACAAAAGAAGGUAUGAACAAGAAUAAACAAACAAACUUCAUAAUCAAGAAAUCAAAAGCAUAUCUUCUCAUGUAACACCAUCAAGAAAUCAAAAUCAUAUCCUCUUAAUACCAAAAAGUAAAUUAACAAUUUAACAAUUCAAGAAACAUUUGUUCUUAGAAUCAAGAAUGUAAGAUUGAAACAAAAAGGAUUUACUAGAUAUCACCAAAUCAAAACUUCAGGCUCUAUGCUGUGAAGGAUAUUAUUAUUUUGACAAACCAUACUGCUGUCUAAACCAACAAAAACAAAUAAUCAACCAGACAAAUCAUGAAACCGAAAGAAUCAAUCAAAAAUGAAUUAACAGUGCAAAACAUGAAGACCAAACAAGAGGAAGAUACAUACAACCAGAAGAAAUCGUAUGUUACAAAAUUACUUUUCCUGCAAGACCAACGAGGGUAAAAAACAGGUCAAGAAAUACAUGAUGAAAUACAUGAUCUCAGAGACGAUAAAGAAUUUUUAAAAAUGAAAAGAAUUUAAUACAUAUAACCAGAAGAAAUCGUAUGUUACAAAAUUACUUUUCCUGCAAGACCUAAGAGGGUAAAAACAGGUCAAGAAAUACAUGAUCUCAAGAGACAAUAAAGAAUUUUAAAAAAUGAAAAGAAUUUAAUACAGAUCACCAAAUCAAAACGCUAGGCUCCAUGCAUCAUUGAAGAAAUUUGAUUUAUCAAUGUGAAGCCAUUCUCUGUACAUAUCCAUUGAGUCAAGAAUCGCAAAAUGUUUAGUUUCUCAAAAUUCCACUUCCAGCAUAAUGGUUAAAUGCAUAUCUCAAGUAUCUAACAUGAUGAUCUCGAUUAUGAAGAACUACAACCAAUAGUUUGAAAAUAAACAUAUCACAACGAUCCAUAUAGGAGUAGAGAGAAUCGUGAAAUCCUUGAUAUUCUAAAAUCUAAUAAAGCAUAUCAAAAUGCCACAACAUAAAGAUCUCCUUGAUAGAAGCAAAUCAAAGACCCAAUCAAAAAGAUAAAGUCCAGACUCACAUUCCUGAUACAAAAACAUGAAACUGUACCACUAGCAGGGCACACAAUCAGAGCAUAACUAUCCCAUCCCAACACAAAUUAACAUGCAAGGGAAAAAACAACCAUUUUUACUUAUCCCUGGGCUGAACGAAGAGUAAGAUGUAUGGCCAGGUUUAUUCCAAGUCUAAUCAGAAGUAUAAAAACCUACAUGAAGAGUAAGAGGAAAGCCCAUCAUAGAAAGAGUAAAUAACAAAAAAAGUAAUGACUAGAAGUAGAAGACUGCUGGCCUGAGAAGGCGGCCUCUGAUAGAACCAGAGUAUGUUUACAGUUCACUUCUCCUGCAACACGAAAGAGUAAAUAAAAAAUAAAGAAAUGUAUGAUGACGAUAAAAGAAAUUUUCAAAAUGAAAAGAAUCUAAUGGAAAUCACCAAAUCAAAAUGAAAACAACAUGUUAAAAAUUCAAUCCGUAUGUCUUGCAAUUGAAGCCCAGAAAUUAAAUUAAUAAAGAAUGGAUCAUUGAAGAAAUUGAUUUUUAUCUAUCUGGAGCUGUCGUUCUUGUCCGGUGUAUAAAAACAUUCUAGAUAUCAAGACUUCACAGCUAUGGAUAAAUGCAUCGCCAGAUUAUCAAAUUAAGAAUUAUAUCCCAAAAAUUAUAGAAACAAGUUAUGAUAAUCAAUCAGUAAAAGGAAGAGUCAGCAGAUGUGUUAAAAUUCAUGAUAUCUACAACCCAGUGCUACGCUCCAUGCAUCAAGCAGGUUUUUAGUGUAACAAACCACGCUGCAGCAAAACAUGUUGAAAAUUCAAUUUGCAUCUCUUGCAGUAAAAACCCAGAAAUAAAUGUAACAAAGAACGAAUCAUUGAAUAAACUGAUUUAUCUAUCUGAAGACAUUCUCCAUUUUUCAUAUGUUGUAUCAAGCCUUUCUAGUUAUCAAGAUUCAAGACUUCUCAGCUCGCUGCAAAACGGCCAAAUGUAUGUCUCGAUUAUAUAACGAAGUUUAUAUCCAAUAAUCCAAAAAUUACAGAAAUAAUUCUUGAUAACGGAUCGUAAAAGAAGAGUGAAAAGAAACAAAUUAAAUAUCGCUUAUAGGAAAACCUGAAAUUAAACAAUCAGGGAGCAAACAAUCUGGCUAAUGGAUCAAGAAAGGAAAGAAAUUAGAAGAAGAUCAAGCAACCUCAUAAGUAUAAUUCGAAAAAUUACACAAAUAAUUCUUUAUAACCAAUGGUAACAACAUAUUCUGGAAAAGUAUGAUAGUGUGAAAUAUAUGCUUCUCAUAUGGAAAUAUUGUAAGAAAAGAAUUUACUAACAAUCACCAUAUCAAUACUCGAGGAUGCAGAAAAACAAUGGCAGGUUAUAUUUUUUGACAAACCAGGCCGCAGAAAAACCAUGGGAGGUUAUUAUUUUGACAAACCAAGCUUCAGAAAAACCACGUUCACAGUUCGAUUCGUCUCAUAGUUAAAGAUCUGGAGAAAUUCAAUUUAUAUCUGAAGCCGUUCUCCGUUCGUAUAUGUUGUGUCAGCAAUCGCAAAACAAUCUGGACUUCCAGACUUCAGCUCGCUGCAAAACGGAUAAAUGCAUGUCUCGAUUAUCCAAUUAUGAACAACCAUAUCCAAUAAACCAAAAAAAUAAACAAACAACAAUUCUUGAAAAACCAAUCCAUGAAAAAAGAGCCAGGAGAACUGUGACAUUCGUGAUAGAAGCAUAUCAAAAUACAAGUCCAAAAUGAACUCCUUGAUAGAAGCAGCACAAAGACUCCAGAAACAAGAACAUAAUAACUGCAACUCUAACAGAGCACAGAUACAGAUGUAGGCAAAAAAUGACCAGUUUUAUUCAUCCGAAGGCUGAACGGAAAGUAAGCGAACCUCUCUGCAUGCCACACAAUUAUAGGCUUACUCCCCUUGUAACACAGAGAAAACUCAAAGGAUCUGACAAAAGUGGAUGACAGCCUGUAGACAGUAGACAGUAUAUGACAAUGACAGCCUGUAGAAAGAUAAUGAUUCAUUGGAACAAUUUUGCAAGAUCGUCAUGCAACCACAUGAAAGACAAUUUAGCUUUCUACUAAUACAGAGAAGUCCCUACACAACAUAAUGAAGAGGAUAUCUUUUAAGGAGGAUCAUCAUCAUAAUAAAUAAACAAUAUCAAAACAGUAAAAGAAGACUAUAGACAGACUCUCCCAUCAAAGUUAUGUCAUCACCAACAUACCAAAAACACACAAAAACUUGAACACAGAAAGAAACACAAAAUCAUGAACACCAGCUUCUACACAAUUAGGACAACAAUUCAGAAACAAAAACAUAUACGUAUGUAAAAGAUAACCAAUUAUAUCCCAAGGACGAAUGAGAAGGUCUGGGCCAAUCAAAUUCAAGCUUGUGAGAAGAGUCAUGAAGCACGAAAGCAUAAAUAAUGCUCACAUCUAAAUUAGAUCGCCAAAUUAAGCCUCACAGAGAUUGAGAAUUUAACUUGUUAUUCAUGUAAUUAGUUGCAGAAGAUAAAUAGUACAGAGCAGAAGCACUCAUCUCCAAUUUCUCAACUUCAGACAGCAAAAUAAACAAGGUACAGUGUAGUAGAGAAAAGGAGACUACUGUUGAACACUUACCCUGUAACAGCACAAAGUUGUCCAAACCAAGCUGCUAAUCCGCAGAUCAUAGUUACGAAGUAAACCCCACAAAGUUGUCUCAAUUUCUCAGAAUUGUGUAACCACUACUCCGUCACAUUACAUGUGAAAAACAUAAAUGUAAUAAAACAGUAGUUUGAUGGAGUAGUGUAACAGAUAGUUGCAAAAUAAAAGAGAAGAUUAGCAUAAUUCUCCAAACCAAGCCGCUGAACAAAAGAUCAUAGUUACAAGAGAGCCCCUCACAAGCUGUCCCAUUUCUCCAGAAAAAUAUGUAAACUAUCACACUAUCAGAUUACAUGCCAAAUACCUAUAUGUAAGAAAACAGUAGUGAUUGAGAAAGAUACACAAAAACAUGUAACAAUUACCCAGUCCAAAUGACACAAACGGGCAACCCGUGCACUAAAGCUCCUUCAUACGCAGGGUUCGGGAAAGGGUCCCACCAUUAUUGGUGUAUUGUACGCUGCCUUAACCUGUUUUUUACACAAGAGGCUGCUUCCAGGACUUGAACACCAAAUAACACAUGCACAAAAAUAUUACACUGUACCACCUAAUUAUAGAAAAAACCAAGUAAGAGAAACAAGAGUAGUAUUAACCAAGUAGUAUUAAAUAACACAUGCACAAAUGAAGCCACUGAUAAAAAGAUCAUAUUUACAAAAACACAUAAAUAACUUACUUAAUUUCUCCAGAUUUGUGUAAACUCAAUUUACAGGUCAGAAAUCUAAAUGUAAGAUAACAGUAGUAUUAAGCAGUCCGCGAACCGUAAGGUUGAACUUCUCAGUAUAAGGGAGUAAAACAAGACUGAACGAUAAAUUUGAGGAUAAUGAAUACUGAACUCAUCUCUCACCCCACUUAAACAGACUUAUCUCUCGCGUGUAACACCCAAGUGACAUAAAGGAGUAAGUCAAAAUGACAGGAUAGUAGAACUUUACAGAGAAUUAAUGAGAUAAAAACUAUUCACAACCAAGAAGAGUGUAUCAAAAUACACCUGAUUGCUUGGUGCUACACAGAACAGUCUCAAAACACACAGCACUGCAGAAAACAGAAAAUGUUUCAAUUCACAAUUUAGUAUAAUCAUGUAGUUUCACAAAACAUUACUACCAUUAUCUAAAACUCAAUCGGCAACAUCUCAAGAGAAAAUUCACAUAUGAACUCAAGGCUCCAUGCUAUGAAAAAAUAACUUCAAUAAUUACGCCGUAUGCCUCUUCCAUCAUAUCACUUGGCUCUAAAAAGAAGACAGAUAAUGGAAAGGAGGAUGAGGGAGGAUAUAAGAGAAGUGUGAGACAAUGGAUAAUGGUAAAAAUUCAUUAAGUUUAAUGAUAUUUUUGUCAAUUCAAGUGUAAAGACGCCAGCUAAUUAUUUUCCUUUGAUUGUGAAAAAUGUUACAAUUCUUUUGCUAGUUUUAAUUUCAAAGAUACAAAGAUUUAAUUGUAAUAUUUUACACUACACUGUUAAAUGGUGAAUAUUAUCAUUUUUUUUUUAUGAACAAGCGUGAAUAUUAUAUCUAUUGUGAUUUCUGAAUAGAAGUUUUAAUCUAACCUUAAUGAAGUUUUAAUAUCAUUGAGUAAUUUCCAAAUAGAAAAUUAUCAAAGUGAUCUGGUACACAUGCUUAUAUAGAUCAACGGUGUUAAUUAAAAAAUACAUUGAUAAAAUUGUAAUUUUUUACACUACACGUUGUCCUUGCUCGUUAGAAGUUUAAACUUAACCUUACUGAAGGUAUCAGAGUGAUUUCCAAAAAAAAAAAUGAUAAAAGUCAUCUGGUACAAAAUUGAUCAUUAGAACAUCAUAAAAGAUAAUUGAAAAUAACAAAAUUGAUCAUUAGAACAUCAUAAACAUUUGCUUAGUUAUGUCCCUAACACCAUGUUCAAUUUCUACUCUAGUUAACACUGGCAGGUCAAACAACAAAGAGAUAACUUUCAAAAUACAUUAAGCAUUCCUAAGCUAGAAGCAGGCCUGCUUUGUGAACUAAGGAGGAACAAUAAACUCUGCACACUUGGUAUAUUCCAUUAUUGUGGUUGUUCUUAACAAAAAGAAUGCAGGACACGCCAUUAGAAGUAAGAAAUAGCUGGUCUAUCUAUAUUUGCAAUGAACGGGAUAAAAUACAAAGAACCAAUCCAAGCAGAAAGCACAAAGUAUGUAUAACCAAGUAGAAAUCACCUUGAAGCCCGGUGCACUCAGAAAUAUCAACUUAGGAGAACCGAUUUAUUCUUAUGCACAUCGUCAAAUGAUAAACAGUAUAGAAAAGCUCCCCAGAUAAAGACCGCCAUCAGGACAAUCCACCCAAGCUGUCCAAAACAGACUACAGGCAGGCCAAACCAUAAGAGAAUAACUACUCCACCAACAAAGAUACAAAUUUGGGACAGAAGAUUCUUAUAAAACUACAAAAGAUGGCAGACUACCAGAGUAUAACACCAAACCAAGCUGUCCAGAAUUUCAUAUCCUCGUUGCGGACAAAAUCAUAUACUCUAGAAUCUUGUAUGCUUCAGUAUUCAUUCUCCUGAUGCGAAAACACAUAUCCAGCACUAGCAUUAGACAUAUCAAAGGAAAAAUAUCCCUAAUGAUGUAACAUAAACAAACACACGGAUAUGUAAAAAAUUACUGAUCAUAUCACACGGCCGGUUUCCACAGGUCACGGCACACCAUACAUUCAUAGUCGGUCUCCCUUGUAACGCCCUCAAUAUCAAUAGAAAUAUUGAAAAUAAAAAUAGAUUCACAAUCCAAUCUGCAUGUCAUAAGAACAAAUCCCAAAUCUUAGUAAUUUUGAUAUAUCUGGACUCGAGUAUUUCCAAACAUUUUAGAUAUCCAAGCUGACAGAAUCAUAAAUAUUGCCGAAGCUCUCCUAAUAUCUAGAUUCAUAUUUCUAAACAUUGGCACAUCACAAUGUCAAAGGACACCUAUUCCAGAACAAGUACAUUCAAGGCAAGAAAAUGACCAGUGAAAUCCAAGGGUCUGCAUGUUCGUAAUAUUAAGGUUAGCUGCAGCUUUAAAAUCACAGUACAGCAUCUCCCCUGUAACACGAGCUAAGAAAAUUUCACAACAAAAAACCCCAUUUACAGACACAGGGAGUCGGGGUAGGAAUGAGAAAACUAAAUCCACAAAAAGACAAGGAAAACGUGAAGAAGAAAUCUAACUGUCAAAGUAGAAAUAACGAAAUGAAAGCUUAACAACGGCAGCCAAUUGCAGAUUCUGGUGCUCCAUUAAGCUCCCCCCUAAACCAAGUCCUUGCUCCAAUUGCAGAAUCUGUGAGGCAUAACCUUUUUGGAGAGAAGAUUCUUAUCCUCAUGUAUAUAUACCACAAACCGCAGGAAAAUAGAAAACGAAUUAUGAUAGAGGAAGAGACAAAUCAACAAUUAAAGUGCCAAACCAGUCCAGAAUUCUUAUAUGCUUCAUACUCUCAUGAGACAGAACCACAAAAACUCAGACACUUGCAAGAAACCAUCAGAGGACCUGCUAUCCCAAAUCCCAAUAUAAAAACACGGCUAGAAAAUUACCAGUUUUAUCUCAAGGCUGAACAGAACCUUGCUUCGUGCACAUUUAUAGGAUUUUCCUCUAACACUCACAGAAAACUCAAAAAGUAGAUGCUGAUUAUCAAACUAUAGGGAGUAUAUGAAACAGCCUGCAGAGGACGUUGAAUCAGGGUGUGCAAAAAUAAACCUGUACACUUUAAUAAUACACAGACUGGUUAUUUUAAGAUAUAUUAUGCUCCAGAAAACAGGUUUUAAUUCACAAUCCACCAGAAAUGAAUAUCAUGUAUGGAGCUCUGCAAAACAUCACCGUUUUAUGAAACUCAACUGGCAACAUCCAAAACAGAAAAUUCAUAGCAGAACUCCAGUCAUCUUUCCAAGUUCAGCAAAACAUUACUAUUUCCUAUUACUCAAAUAGCAAUACCAUAAAUGCAAAACAACAUCUGUCUACCAAGAAUAAUGUUAGUUGUAACAGGAAUUCAAGAACAAUCAAAAUUGGACUGCAAAAGUUAAAGAUAACGAAUAAUUAAUCACAAAGAAUAAGAAUACUUCACAUGAGGAUCAAACAAGAGAAUGUCACAGAUUAUUGCUCCUGCAACACCAGAGAGCAACGAAUCAAGAAAUAUUCAUACUCUCAGCAACACCAAAAAGUAACCAAUCAAGAAAUAUUCAUACUCUUAGCAGUGAAAGAAAUAUCAUAAAAAAACAGAUUAUGAUAAUAUCACCAUAUAAAAACCCUAUGAUGCGAAGAAAGUUAUUAGAUUUGACAGACCGUGCUGCAGAAAAACAUGUUCAAAAUUCAAUUUGUUCAUAGCCCAGAAAUCAAGUUAAUAAAGGACUCAUUAUCAUUUAUCUUUCAAACACCGUUCCCCCGUUCCUGUCCGUUGAAUCAAGUGUUAUAGAUAUCAAGACUUCCCUGCUCGCAGUACAACGGAUAAACGGAUCUUCUUCUUUUUUUUUUUUUUUUUUUUGAAGUGAAACAUACUUUCAAAAAAACAAAGCUGGAACACAGCCAUCAAACCCACAAUGAUUAUUUCGAUUAUCAACGGAUCUUCAAUUAUCAAAUGAAGAGUUAAAUUGAAAAAUAACACAAAGAUUGAAUAGAUGAAUUUUCUAGAGAUCACCGGGAAAAUACUCAAGGCUCCAUACUACGAAGGAGGUUAUUAUUUAGACAAACCAGGAUGCAGAAAAAGCAUGUUCGCAGUUCAUUUAUUUCGACAAACCACGCUGCAGAAAAGCAUUUUCAAAAUCAAUUUGUAUGUCUUGUAAUCAAAGUCAGAUUAUAAACAAUAAAAAUGGCUCAUUGAAGAAAUUUGAUUUAUCUUGAACCAUUCCCCGUACUUAUAUCUUUGAACCAAGAAUAUGUUGACCUCAGCUGCAAAAUCAAUAAAGAUUUAAACAAAAAGGAUUCACUAUCUUUCAUAUUUAUGAACCAAGGAGAAAAGGUUCUAUGCUAUGUAGGAGGUUAAUUUUUGACAAAACCAAGCUGAAAAAGGAAGUCAUUGAUGUCUUGCAUUAAAAUUAAUAAACAAUAAUCACCAAAAUCAAAACCUCAUAAACAUGAAANAAACAAUGAUCACCAAAAUCAAAACCUCAUAAACAUGAAACCAGAAAGGAAAAAGAAUACAAAACAUGAAGAUCAAAUAAGAGCAAGAAAGAAAGAACCAGAAGAAAUCGUGUUUUCAUAGAUAUUUCUCCUGAAACACCAAAAAGAUCACCAAAUCAAAAAAUCAACUGAAACUGAUUUAAUAAUACAUAAAAAACAAUGAAGAAAUUUUGAAAACAAAAAUAAUUUAACAGACAUCACCAAAUCAAAUCCAUGCUUAGUUUGCAAACUACCCACCACGCUGCAGAAUAAUUAAGAAUAUGUUCAAUAUUCAAAUUGUAUGCUUUCCAAUCAAAUUAAAAUAAUUAAUUAUCAACUAAAGAAAUUUGAUUUAUCUAACUGGAGCCUUUCUUGUACCUUGUAUCAAGAGGUUUCACUGCAAAACCGAUAAAUGAUCUCUCGAUUAUCAAAAUGAAUAAUUAAUUAUAUAAAAAAUUUAAGAAUUUUAAGAAAUUUUUAUGUAAAAGAAGAGUCGAGAGAAGUGUGAUUGUGUGAAAAUGUUGGAAAGUAUAUCUUAACAAUCACUGAAAUUAAGUAAUCACAGAUCAAAGAAACAAGAAAGUAAAACACCAAAUCAAGCAUUCUCUGAAUUGACAUAGAAAGAUAGAACCAAAAAGAUUUACUAGAUAUCACCAAAUCAAAUCUAGAGGCUCCAUGCUAUGAAUAAAGAACAUUUUUAAUACUCUGACAAACCACGCUGCAGAAAUGGAUAAAGGACUCAUUGAAGAAAAAUAAUUAUCUAUCAAGAGCAGUACAACGGAUAAAUGGAUCUUCGAUUAUCAAAGAAGAGUUAUAUCGAAAAAUAAUACUCAUUAACUAAUCGUAAAAGAAGAUUCAAGAAAAGUACGAGAGUGUGAAAUAUAUCCUCUCAGAAGCAUUGAACGGAAAAUUUACUAGAUAGAGAUCACCAGAAAAUUCUCAAGCCUCCAUACUCAGGAGGUUAAUAAUUAGACAAACCAAGCUGCAGAAAAAGCAAGAUCACGGUUCAAUUCUUCUCAUAAUCUAAAACUUGAAAUUAAAAACAAUAAAGAAUGAAUCAUUGAAGAAAUUCGAUUUAUCUAUUUGAAGCCAAUCUCCAUUCAUAUCCGUUGUGUAAAGAAUCACAAAAUGUUUAUAGUUUUUCCGGAUUCCGCCACCUGCUGCAAAUUAAACAUAUAUCUCCAUUAUCUACUUAUGAUAGAAGAAGAUCAAAAGACCCAAGCGAAAAGAUAAACUGCAGACUCCUGAUACAACAUUAUAAAAACUGCAACACUAUCCCAUCACACCAUCAGAGCACAACUAUCCCAUCACACCAUCAGAGCACAACUAUCCCAUCCCAACACAAAAUGAAACCAGUUUUAUUACCAAGGUUGAGUGAAAAGUAGGAUGUAUGACCAGCUUUAUUCCAAGUCUGAACGGAAGUAAUAAACCUAAAUGACAGAUUACAUCAAAGCAGUCACAAUUUCUCCAGAAUUGUGUAAACUAU